GGAGGAGGUCAGGCGGUCGCGGACGGCCGCACGAGCCGUCCGAGGAAAGUCCGAGCUCCAGAGGGCAGGGUGCUGGGCAACACCCAGUGGGAGCGAUCCCAAGGAAAGUGCCACAGAAAGGGAGACCGCCCAAGGGGCCUUCGGGCUCCCGGCAAGGGUGAAAAGGUGAGGUAAGAGCUCACCAGUGUUCCCGGUGACGGGGGCAGCUUGGUAAACCCCACCCGGAGCGAGACCAAAUAGGAGAGGAGAAGCGGCCCGCUUCGCUAUGACUCUCGGGUAGGUCGCUCGAGUCGGCGGGCAACCGCCGUCCCAGAUGAAUGACCGCCGCGGGGGACUGUUCGCGGUCCCUCGACAGAACUCGGCUUACGACCUCCUCCUGUC
RNAcentral lists this RNase P RNA (381 nucleotides) under Candidatus Effluviviaceae Genus V sp. RNAcentral describes it as "RNase P RNA component class A". It matches the Rfam family "Bacterial RNase P class A". From Rfam's summary of the family: Ribonuclease P (RNase P) is a ubiquitous endoribonuclease, found in archaea, bacteria and eukarya as well as chloroplasts and mitochondria. Its best characterised activity is the generation of mature 5'-ends of tRNAs by cleaving the 5'-leader elements of precursor-tRNAs. Cellular RNase Ps are ribonucleoproteins. The record is from RNAcentral. Lineage: Bacteria; Candidatus Effluviviacota; Candidatus Effluviviaceae.